This 5105-nucleotide non-coding RNA is filed under the name Cryptosporidium parvum. The record is from RNAcentral. Lineage: Eukaryota; Apicomplexa; Conoidasida; Eucoccidiorida; Cryptosporidiidae.
UUAAACUAUCAAAGUAGUUUGGCCUUUUCUAGAUAAUUUUUUGAUAAUAGAUGUUUUUAGCGAUAAUAAAAUUAUUAUUCAUUGAAAUUCAGAUUUAUGCAGCGUUACAAGUUGGCCCAAUACAUGUUGUUUCAUAUGACACAAUUGGGGUCGUUAUAACUUUCUUGACGCAACCUGUACUAGUUUUUUCUGUAUUGUCUGGGCAUCUACUAUCUGGUUUUGUUACCAAAACGCACUCCUUAUUGUCAAACAAAGUAUAUGGAUCAUUGCAUGUUAAUGAGAAUGGAGCAUAUUCAACAAUAUAGCAUGUGCCAUCUUGAUCGGUAACAUACCCAGAUGGACAACUGGAAACUACUGGUGUAGAUUCUAUCUUUUCACAACCACCGGAUGGGCACACCUUAGGUGCGAAUCUUGCGCAUCUAUCACCCAAUAGUUGACUAUCAGCUGUACAGCUUAAUGAAUAUGGAGCAAAAACUUCUCUUGAACAAACAGUUGUCCUCACAAUGCUUACUUCCUGAGUAACUGCAUGAUGAUGAUGAUGAUGUCCUAGAGCGUGAUGAUGUCCAGAACUAUGAUGUGGAUGAUUUGAAGCUGUUCCUAAAGACCUUCUGGUUCCUUGGGCAACUCCAGCCUCCAUUGUGUAACCCGGUGGGCAAACAAGCUCUGGUGGGAAUGUUCUUAUUCUCUCGCAAUCGCCAUUUGGACAGACUUUAUCUGCAUAUUUUGCGCACUUAUCGCUGAUAACUAUUAAUCCAGGUGGGCAUGCCAAUUCAUAAUCUGCAUAUUCAUUAGCAAUACACCUCUGUCCACUUCUCUCAAAGUUUUGAGGACAAGAGAGAAUUGGUGGUAUAUAACUGAUUCUUUCACAAUUGUUGUUUGGACAAACCUUUGCUGUUGAUUGUUGGCACAUAUCUCCCAAUAAUCUGAAUCCAUCUGGACAUUGUAGUGCAUAUGGCUCAUAAACAUUUCUCAUACAUUGACUUGCUCCACUGGCUUUAUGACCAUGGGAUCUGAUUGCAACACCAGCCUGAGGUCUAUAAUAUCCAGGUGGGCACUCCAUCGUUGGUGGUGAACGAAUGAGUUGUUCGCAGUUUCCAUCUGGGCAAACUUUAACAGUAUGGAUCGCGCAUUUAUCUCCGAUUAUUGAAUAAUUAUCUGGACAAGAAAGGUCAUAAGGUGUAUAUAUUUGUUUUGUACACUCUUGUAAUAACUGGUUUCCAUGUCCAUGUCCAUGUCCUGCAUGAUCUGAAUGAUGAUUUGAUUGUGGUCUAGUAAAUCCAGGUGGGCAUACCAUAUUGGCAGGUUUACUUAUCAAUCUCUCGCAGUUACCAUUUGGACAGAUUUUAUUUGUAAACAAUGCACAUCUAUCCCCUAAUAACACGAACCCUGAUGAACAUACUAAACUAUACUCUUCAAAAAUAGUUCUAACACAUUCUGCUGAAGGUGUUGAAUAAUGAUGUGUUCCGGCGGUAUGCUUGCUUGAAAUUGCUGUUUGAAUUCCGUUGGCAUUUCUGUAACCUUGUGGACAUGAAAGAGUUGGUGGAACGACGACUUGUUUUCUGCAGUCACCUUGUAGACAAAUUUUUUCUGUUUUUUCGAUACAUUUGUCGCCAUCUAAAAUAAAUGGAGAUUCGCAUUUUAAAAUAUAAGGUACUGAAAUUGUCUUAAUGCACUCAGGGGAAGCUAGAUUUCUGUGAUGAUGAUGAUGAUGAUGAUGAUGUCCUUGAUAAAUUGUGCCGGUUUGGUAAACUGGAGUUGGAUAAGUUGUUAAAAUUUCCUGUGUUUGAUGAAUUACUUGUGGCUGAUAAUUUACUUGUCUUUGUUGAAUUACUUGUGGUUGGUUAAUAGUUUGUGGUUGGACGGGAACAGAAACAUUUGGAUGGUUAAUAUGAGAAUGGCUUAUUGGCUGAAUUGGUUUAGAUGAUGAGAAUCCUGGAGGGCAUACUAAUUCAGCAGGCUCAUUAUAUAUACGCUCGCAAUUACCAUUUGGACAUAUUUUAUCCGAAUAUGUAACACAUUUAUCCGCUACAAGUCUUGAUCCAACAGGACAGAUAAGAUUAUAUGGAGCAUGGUCUGCAUGGAUGCAUUUCAUUUGCUGAAUAGGAGCAACAACUGGAACUGGUUGUGGUGGCUGAGAAAUUACAGGAGUAUAUUUAUGUCCAUGAGAAUAUCCCUUUUGAGAAGUAGAUUGAACCCCAGCUAAGUGUCUGUGGUGUGGAUGAGCAGAAAUAUUCAUAACUUCAUCUAUUUGGUGAUAUCCAGGGGGACAAGUUAAAGAAACAGGCGCAGUUACAACUCUUUGGCAACUUUCAUUCGGGCAAACUUUUUCUCUUGUGGUAGCGCAUUUGUCUCCAACCAAUGCAUAUCCUGCAGGGCAUGCAAGAUCAUAUGGUGAAUAUUUGUUAACUUGACAUUGAGAUCCUACAUCUACAGAACCUGGCGGACAUUUUAAAGUAGGUGGAGUUUUUACAAACUUAGCACACUCUUUUGAUCUUGUUCCAUCUUGACAAAUUGCUUCUAAUGGGUAGUAAUUUGUUAAUACACAUUCUUUUCCUACAAGUUCAGCAUUGUUCUCGCAAAUAGGCACAGCUGGGACAGAAUCAGCUUUUGUACAAGUUUUUGGGGUAAUUUUUGGAACAUCUUCACAAAUUGGCCUUGGAGCCUCUUUAUGAUGUUGUGUAUGUAUAUUCUGGGUUUGAAUUGGUAUAACUUGUGAAUGUGAAUGCCCAUGAGAAUGACCAUGAUGAUGUCCUGGAUUUUGUAUCUCAGAUGUUUCAUAAACUGUUGAUGUUUCUUUUGCAGCUGCUAAUCUUCUUAGUGCUUUAACAUCAGGUGUUUUACACUCUGUAACAUAAGUUGUUACUGAACAGUCAUAUUGGCUUCUUCUAACACAUUGUUUACCUGUUUCCAAUGAAUAACCAGGUGGGCAUUCCAAAACAGGCGAACUAAUCGAUCUCUCUACGCAAACGUCCCCCUCUCUAGUACCAACAGGACAAACGUAUUGAAGAGCCCCGGGAACAAGUCUUGUGCACGAGUCUCCAUCCAACGCAGAACCUGGAGGACAUUCUGGUGUUUUUGGUGAGGUAGUUGUUUGAACACACUGUUGAUUUUGUAGAGUGAAUCCAGUAGGACAUACAGUUGAAGCAGGAGAAAAUUGGAUACAAUCGUCUCCAUUUGGUAAAAAUCCAUCUGGGCAGAUAGCAUCGAUCAUUUUUAGUGCAGUACAUUGAUUUCCUUGAAGUUUAUAUCCUGGUGGACAUUCUGAAACAGGAGGUGCUUCUUUUAUUUGCUCGCAUUGGGAUCCAGAAAGUGUAUAUCCAGGUGGGCAUUCUCUGUUUGGUGCGGAGAAAGAAGCACAAUUUGUACCAUUAUCAAUAAAACCAGUUGGACAUACCAUAUUUAUCCUUUCAACUUUUUGGCAUUGUCCAUUUACCAGGUUUGUACCUGGAGGACACUCUGGUUGUGGUGGAGCUUGAGUAGUUUGGGUACAUUGUUUUCCAAUUAAUACAAAACCUGUUGGACACUCCUUUUCUGGUUGAGAAAACUGAACACAGUCUGAUCCAUUGUCGAGAUAUCCAGGUGGACAAAUGGCAUCUUCUAGUUCAUAUGAAAUACAACUGUUAUUUUCCAAGGUUGUACCUGGUGGGCAUUCUGUUAAUCUUGGAGCAGAUUCUGUUUUAACACAUUGUUUUCCGGAAAGAGAAAAUCCUUGGGGGCAAAUUUUCUCUGGUGCAGAAAAUUGGACACAAUCUUCGCCAUUAUCUACAAACCCUGGUGGACAAAUUGUAUCAACUCUUUCUAUCGAUUGACAUUGAUCAUCUUUUAAAAUUGUACCUGGUGGGCAUUCGAAUUCCAUGGGAGCAUUUACCAUUUGAACGCACCUGUUCCCACUCAAUGUAAACCCGGGUGGGCAUUCCUUUGUGACUGGAGAAUAUUUUACACAAUCUUUUCCAUUGUCUAAAAAUUCUGGUGGACAGAUAGCAUCGAUUGCUUGGACUGAAAUACAGGCAUUAUCUUGUAAUACUGUACCUGGAGGGCAGACAGGUUGAGUUGGAGCAGAACUAGUUUGUAUACAUUGGAGGCCUUGUAAAAUGAAAUUUGGUGGGCAUUCCUUUGCAGGAGCUACAUAUAGUACACAAUCAUCUCCUGAGUCUGUAUAUCCUGGUGGGCAGACCAUAUCAAUAUUUUUAAUCACUUUACAUUUUCCAUUUUCAAAUAUUGAAUUAGGUGGGCAUGUCGAUUCUAAUUCAGCUGAUUCUGGUGCCAUACAUUGUUGUCCUGACAAAUUGAAUCCAGGAGGACAGAUUUUAUUUGCAGGGAGAUAUUGAACACAUCUAUUUCCUUCUUCAACAAAACCAGAAGGACAAACGGUAUCAAUUUGUUGAAUUAAUUUACAUGUGCCAUUCUCCAGUAUAGUGCCUGGAGGACAUUCUGGAUUAGGAGGAGCUGUGUCUGAUUGAACACAUUGUUUUCCAGAAAAAACGAAUCCUGGGGGACAUGAUUUUUCAGGCAUAGUGAAUGCAACACAAUCUCUUCCAUUAUCUACGAAACCAGGGGGACAUACUGUAUCUAUCAUAUGUUUAGAGAUACACUCUGUUCCAUGUAAUGUAGUACCUGGAGGACAAGAUGGUUGUUGAGAAGCGGUUUUAGUAGCAGUACAUUGCUUUCCUGAUAUUUCGUAUCCUGGUGGACAUUGCUUUAGUGGUGCUGUUACUAUUAAACAAUGCCCCUCGUGAUAGAUUGCUGGUUCCUGACAGAAAGGCAUAGGAGGAACCUGGAUACGUUGGACACAAACUCCAUUCUCCAUUAAAUACCCUGGAGGGCAGCUUUCUAGCGGAGUUUCAACAUACGUAGGUACCUGGCCUUUUGUGUGUGGCAAAGGGGAAGCUACACCAGGAAUGUUGGGUUUAACCUGAGGCGCACCAAAUGCACCAAUAAUAAACGACAAUAAUAAAAUACGUUUCAUAAUAAAAGAAAAAACUAUUUAAUGAAAUUGACCUAAUAAUUAAAUUAGGGCAGAUAUUCAAAUAGUAAUUGAAAUUAUUAGGUAAAAAAUUGUUGAUUGAGGAAAAACAAUAAUUCGAGGAUACACCUAACGCAUAUAC